RNAcentral lists this ribosomal RNA (253 nucleotides) under uncultured bacterium. Its description in RNAcentral is "partial 16S ribosomal RNA". It matches the Rfam family "Bacterial small subunit ribosomal RNA", at positions 524 to 776 of the family's 1533-position model. The record is from RNAcentral.
UACAUAGGGGGCAAGCGUUAUCCGGAUUUACUGGGUGUAAAGGGGGCGCAGACGGCGAUGCAAGCCAGGAGUGAAAGCCCGGGGCCCAACCCCGGGACUGCUCUUGGAACUGCGUGGCUGGAGUGCAGGAGGGGCAGGCGGAAUUCCUGGUGUAGCGGUGAAAUGCGUAGAUAUCAGGAGGAACACCGGUGGCGAAGGCGGCCUGCUGGACUGCAACUGACGUUGAGGCCCGAAAGCGUGGGGAGCAAACAGG